UCAAAAUAACGAUAUCAUAACUUAUUUUAGAUAACUAUAUCAUAUUACAAAGAGUCACAAGAACGGUUACAAGAAUAUAAGCUACACAAUACAACAUCAUGAAAACAAUUUGACCACUUGAUUCCAACCCCUCAACUUUAAACUUCUUGACACAACUGUAUGGAACUUAAGAAAAGUUGACUAACAUGUUGACUUGACUUCCACUUUACACAUAACAGUGUUCAUGCUCAGCUUCAACUAGUUUUCCUUUUAUACAAACAUCCUUAUUCCAGUAAUCUGCAGUUUGCAUCAAAAGGAAUUUAAAAGUCUGACUGAAGCAUUUCAUCAAACACAUGGAAUGGAAUUCAUCAAAUCAAAUACAUGAUCAUUUUCCAUCUUAGUUUCAUUUACACAAUGAUGCUCUUUUGGAAGAAUCUUUAAGUUUGACUUUUGACUUUUGAAGUCAAGCAUGUUACCUUUUGAGUUCAUGAUUA
This 473-nucleotide long non-coding RNA is filed under the name Helianthus annuus (common sunflower). RNAcentral describes it as "hypothetical non coding rna". Lineage: Eukaryota; Viridiplantae; Streptophyta; Magnoliopsida; Asterales; Asteraceae. The record is from RNAcentral.